UCACUGCUGUGGAGUCCCACAAUAGGACGAAACGGCCGUCCAGUGU
Schistosoma mansoni is the source of this 46-nucleotide non-coding RNA. Lineage: Eukaryota; Metazoa; Platyhelminthes; Trematoda; Strigeidida; Schistosomatidae. The record is from Rfam.